GGAGACGUCGCUGCCGUGAUCG
Molecule: small RNA, 22 nt
Filed under: Arabidopsis thaliana (thale cress)
Lineage: Eukaryota; Viridiplantae; Streptophyta; Magnoliopsida; Brassicales; Brassicaceae
Description: Ath_wt_14548
Source: RNAcentral